This 497-nucleotide ribosomal RNA is filed under the name uncultured bacterium. Its description in RNAcentral is "partial 16S ribosomal RNA". It matches the Rfam family "Bacterial small subunit ribosomal RNA", at positions 28 to 507 of the family's 1533-position model. The record is from RNAcentral.
GAUGAACGCUGGCGGCGUGCCUAAUACAUGCAAGUCGAGCGAACGGACGAGAAGCUUGCUUCUCUGAUGUUAGCGGCGGACGGGUGAGUAACACGUGGAUAACCUACCUAUAAGACUGGGAUAACUUCGGGAAACCGGAGCUAAUACCGGAUGAUAUUUUGAACCGCAUGGUUCAAAAGUGAAAGACGGUCUUGCUGUCACUUAUAGAUGGAUCCGCGCUGCAUUAGCUAGUUGGUAAGGUAACGGCUUACCAAGGCAACGAUGCAUAGCCGACCUGAGAGGGUGUUCGGCCACACUGGACCGGAGACACGGUCCAGACUCCUACGGGAGGCAGCAGUAGGGAAUCUUCCGCAAUGGGCGAAGGCCUGACGGAGCAACGCCGCGUGAGUGAUGAAGGUCUUCGGAUCGUAAAACUCUGUUAUUAGGGAAGAACAUAUGUGUAAGUAACUGUGCACAUCUUGACGGUACCUAAUCAGAAAGCCACGGCUAACUACGUG